GCCCGAGCAACCAAAUUGUCCAAUACUCAGAGACUGAAGGUAAACUGUUUAUCUAAACGAAGAUCAGACAGUGUAAUCGUUAGUGUUGGUGUAAUGGUGGUAUUAACAGUGUAUUCAGUAUAGUUUUUACAAAAUUUCCCAUAUGUUGUAAAGAACCGAUUGCUGAAGCAAAAUGGGCAGUUAUAAGACUUUCAUCACUCCCUGAUAAAUACUACAUAAUAUAGGAUAAAUGCGGGAAUAAUUCAACCUUUUUUAAAAAGAAUUAUCGGUUUUUUUAGUACCGUUUAUAAAAAUAGGAAAAUAUUUAGCAAUAAUAUGAAAAUUUCAUCGAUAACUAAAUGUAGAUAUAUGCUGUUUAGAUCUUAUCAAGCAAAACGUACAUUUCAAAGGCGAAGCCCUGGUGGGGUAAGGUUAGGUUUUAUCGACUUCAAGUCUGGAAUAUCUGGAAAACUAUGCAAAAUAUCGAAAAAUCUUAUUCUUCAUUUUCGAUUUAUUUUAAGCCGUUUCACAAAAUUUUAUAACCAAAUCCUGGCGCCGAUGAAAUCAUACCGUAGUUUCAUUCCACACCCAAUUUCUUUCUAUUUAGGUGACUAUUUUUAAAUGGAGCAACCAUAUAAAGGGGUUACGGAGUUUUUUGGCAAACCAAAACUCUCAAUCUCCAUACAAGAGUAGGUACCAUUCAAUUCACAAUAAAUUUUUCGCACGCACAGAACUCCUUUUUCUAAGGAAUAUUUUAGAAUCCAUUGUCCAUAUGUCUGUCAUAAUCUUCGAAACUCAUAUGCUUUGUUGGAAAAAUUGAAAACGUCGCGAUACUGAAUUUUAUUUCUUUAUUGACUUUCCUAUUUUUAUAAUUCAUGAGGUUUAAAGACAAUAAUACGUUCAUAAAGUAUAAACAAACAUUUAAAACAAAGAGACUGGAAUUUAUAAGGAUAACAUUUGAGAAAAAGCAACGACGACAAGGAAAAAAAAUGUUUUUUCGUAUAAACCAACACGAACCUACAGGUAUUCGAUUUUUAAACUAUUUUGGAGUACUGCUUUGGAUUUAAAAUUAACCAAAACAUGUAACGCCAAUAAUUCAUCAGCUUAACGAUUCCGGUUCCAAAAAGUAGCUUUUCAGGGUUCUAACAAGGGAGAUCCAAAAUAUACUUCCACAUAUAAUAAAUGUAAAAGGGGAAAGAACAUGGGGCCUCAAAGCAAAGUGAAAAGAACAAGAAUAAAAAAAGGGAAAGCUAAAAAAUUGAUCAAGAGAAAAAUGGAAUAUUCAGAAAAUGAAUCUAUGUAUCGGGAGUUUACAAAAAAAUUGGAAACUGGAAAAAUACCAUCGUCUGAAUCCCUUAUUUAUGUAGGGACUUCAUAUAACACAGAAAGUAAAAAUGUUCCUUUAAUAGAUUUGACGAACGAUAACCAACAGCUUGAAACGCUUUAUUUUAACAAAAGAAAUUUCACAAGAAGAUUACAAUUGAGGAAAUCCUUAGCCACAACUUCUCUAAUAAAUUUACCCACUGUUAGAAAAAUUGUACCUGAAAAGUUGAAUAGCACUUCAACGUUGACCAAACCUAAUAAUAAAUUACAUAUGCUGGACAUUCCAUCACCGUUUUUGAACAAUGAAGAUCUCAUUUUCAAUUAUGAUUCAAAUUUUUGGAACAAGUGUAAUCUUACCGAAAGGGAUAAUAAUCUUAUUCAGUGUCUUCUACAGCAAGAAAACGAACCUAUUGAUAUAAUCGAUAACUUUAGUCCAACUUAUCCAUUCAACAAUUCAAUCAAUUUAUCUCUUGAAGGUUUGAUGGAUUCCUACAAAGUUUCUUCAAAUGACAAUUUUAACUGAGUGUAAUAUUUUAUUUGAUACAAAAAUAUGUAGCCAAGCUAAAAUAAACAUUUUUAUACUGUUUUA
RNA transcript from Diorhabda sublineata, 1891 nucleotides. RefSeq lists it as uncharacterized. The transcript has 4 exons. The record is from RefSeq and is a predicted model, not a curated record. NCBI's taxonomy places the organism in Eukaryota, Metazoa, Arthropoda, Insecta, Coleoptera, Chrysomelidae.